RNAcentral lists this ribosomal RNA (300 nucleotides) under uncultured beta proteobacterium. RNAcentral describes it as "bacterial SSU rRNA". It matches the Rfam family "Bacterial small subunit ribosomal RNA", at positions 114 to 415 of the family's 1533-position model. The record is from RNAcentral. Lineage: Bacteria; Pseudomonadati; Pseudomonadota; Betaproteobacteria.
UGCAUCGGAACGUGUCCCGUAGAGGGGAAUAGCUCGGCGAAAGCCGGAUUAAUACCGCAUAUGCUCUACGGAGGAAAGCCGGGGACCCGCAAGGGCCUGGCGCUAUGGGAGCGGCCGAUGCCCGAUUAGCUUGUUGGUGAGGUAAAGGCUUACCAAGGCGACGAUCGGUAGCUGGUCUGAGAGGAUGAUCAGCCACACUGGGACUGAGACACGGCCCAGACUCCUACGGGAGGCAGCAGUGGGGAAUUUUGGACAAUGGGGGAAACCCUGAUCCAGCCAUGCCGCGUGAGUGAAGAAGGC